This 422-nucleotide ribosomal RNA is filed under the name uncultured bacterium. RNAcentral describes it as "bacterial SSU rRNA". It matches the Rfam family "Bacterial small subunit ribosomal RNA", at positions 917 to 1341 of the family's 1533-position model. The record is from RNAcentral.
GGGCCCGCACAAGCGGUGGAGCAUGUGGUUUAAUUCGAUGAUACGCGAGGAACCUUACCAGGGCUUAAAUGUAGUUUGACCGGUCUGGAAACAGACUUUCUCUUCGGAGCAGAUUACAAGGUGCUGCAUGGUUGUCGUCAGCUCGUGCCGUGAGGUGUUAGGUUAAGUCCUGCAACGAGCGCAACCCCUAUUCUUAGUUGCCAGCGGUUCGGCCGGGGACUCUAAGAAGACUGCCAGCGCAAGCUGAGAGGAAGGUGGGGAUGACGUCAAAUCAUCACGGCCCUUACGUCCUGGGCUACACACGUGCUACAAUGGUAGAGACAGAGGGCAGCCACCUGGUGACAGGGAGCGAAUCCUUAAACUCUAUCUCAGUUCGGAUUGGAGUCUGCAACUCGACUCUAUGAAGCUGGAAUCGCUAGUAA